This is a long non-coding RNA of Haliotis rubra (blacklip abalone), 224 nucleotides long. RefSeq lists it as uncharacterized. The transcript is spliced from 3 exons. Lineage: Eukaryota; Metazoa; Mollusca; Gastropoda; Lepetellida; Haliotidae. The record is from RefSeq and is a predicted model, not a curated record.
UAUAUGAAUCUAGGCACUCUGAAUGCACACAGGAAGAAUUAUGCCAUGGUUCAGGAGUAUACGGAGAAAGCUCUUCACAUAUACAAGAUCAACCAGUUUCACCAAGAUAAUCAGUCAUACUGGUUUUGUAAGGAGAAUAUGGCAAACUGCCUGCUGAGACAGAACAAGAUCAAGGAAGCUGAACCGUACUUCUGGGAUGUCUUUGAUGUCCAAGCGAGGCUUGG